GAUUAACGCUUGCACCCUUCGUAUUACCGCGGCUGCUGGCACGAAGUUAGCCGGUGCUUAUUCUGUUGGUAACGUCAAAACAGCAAGGUAUUAACUUACUGCCCUUCCUCCCAACUUAAAGUGCUUUACAAUCCGAAGACCUUCUUCACACACGCGGCAUGGCUGGAUCAGGCUUUCGCCCAUUGUCCAAUAUUCCCCACUGCUGCCUCCCGUAGGAGUCUGGACCGUGUCUCAGUUCCAGUGUGACUGAUCAUCCUCUCAGACCAGUUACGGAUCGUCGCCUUGGUAGGCCUUUACCCCACCAACUAGCUAAUCCGACCUAGGCUCAUCUGAUAGCGUGAGGUCCGAAGAUCCCCCACUUUCUCCCUCAGGACGUAUGCGGUAUUAGCGCCCGUUUCCGGACGUUAUCCCCCACUACCAGGCAGAUUCCUAGGCAUUACUCACCCGUCCGCCGCUGAAUCCAGGAGCAAGCUCCCUUCAUCCGCUCGACUUGCAUGUGUUAGGCCUGCCGCCAGCGUUCAAUCUGAGCCAGGAUCAAACCCUUU
Molecule: ribosomal RNA, 545 nt
Filed under: uncultured bacterium
Lineage: Bacteria
Description: partial 16S ribosomal RNA
Source: RNAcentral